UACGGAGGGGGCUAGCGUUGUUCGGAAUUACUGGGCGUAAAGCGUACGUAGGCGGCUUUGUAAGUUAGAGGUGAAAGCCCGGGGCUCAACUCCGGAACUGCCUUUAAGACUGCAUCGCUUGAAUCCGGGAGAGGUGAGUGGAAUUCCGAGUGUAGAGGUGAAAUUCGUAGAUAUUCGGAAGAACACCAGUGGCGAAGGCGGCUCACUGGACCGGUAUUGACGCUGAGGUGCGAAAGCGUGGGGAGCAAAAGGG
Molecule: ribosomal RNA, 253 nt
Filed under: uncultured bacterium
Lineage: Bacteria
Description: partial 16S ribosomal RNA
Rfam family: Bacterial small subunit ribosomal RNA
Source: RNAcentral